UAGGACGAACGCUGGCGGCGUGCCUAAUACAUGCAAGUCGAACGGUCUUUCUAUGGAAGCUUGCUUCCACUGAGAAGAUAGUGGCGAACGGGUGAGUAACACGUGGGUAACCUGCCCAUAAGAGGGGGGAUAACAUCCGGAAACGGGUGCUAAUACCGCAUAGUUUUCUUGAUCGCAUGAUUGGGAAAGGAAAGACGGCCUUUGUGCUGUCGCUUAUGGAUGGACCCGCGGCGUAUUAGUUAGUUGGUGAGGUAACGGCUCACCAAGACGAUGAUACGUAGCCGACCUGAGAGGGUGAUCGGCCACAUUGGGACUGAGACACGGCCCAAACUCCUACGGGAGGCAGCAGUAGGGAAUCUUCCGCAAUGGACGAAAGUCUGACGGAGCAACGCCGCGUGAGUGGAAGAAGGUUUUCGGAUCGUAAAACUCUGUUGUCAGAGAAGAACAAGUUGGAGAGUAACUGCUCCGGCCUUGACGGUAUCUGACCAGAAAGCCACGGCUAACUACGUGCCAGCCGCAGC
Molecule: ribosomal RNA, 521 nt
Filed under: uncultured bacterium
Lineage: Bacteria
Description: bacterial SSU rRNA
Rfam family: Bacterial small subunit ribosomal RNA
Source: RNAcentral